Molecule: long non-coding RNA, 1259 nt
Organism: Daphnia pulicaria
Lineage: Eukaryota; Metazoa; Arthropoda; Branchiopoda; Diplostraca; Daphniidae
Exons: 5
Source: RefSeq, a predicted model, not a curated record
UGAACCAGCCAACGUAACAACAAGAUAUUCCAGUUUUGCUUCUGCUGGACCUGUCAUCACAGCAACAAUGUCAUCAUCAUCACUUGGAUAAACAGCAUCCCUGUUGAUUGGAGAUUCUACCCAUGGCCGAGCUACGUAUCUCUUCCUCCCCCCUUUCUUUAAAAUGUCCUCGUGUACACUUCAUGUGAGUGUGGGUGUAUUCACGAGGACCCCCUUUUCUCCCUAUCCCGCCUGGUGGACUCAACUUUUCGGCGGAUGGAUGGAGUUUCACUUAAGUGGAUGGAUGCCUGGCUGAAUUUCCCAGGCUCAAAGAUUUGAGUCCUGAAUCAGCCAACGUAACAACAAGAUAUUCCAGUUUUGCUUCUGCUGGACCUGUCCUCACAGCAACAACCUCAGCAUCUCCACUUGGAUAAACAGCAUCCCUGUUGAUUGGAGAUUCUACCCAUGGCCGAGCUACGUAUCUCUUCCUCCCCCCUUUCUUUAAAAUGUCCUCGUGUACACUUCAUGUGAGUGUGGGUGUAUUCACGAGGACCCCCUUUUCUCCCUAUCCCGCCUGGUGGACUCAACUUUUCGGCGGAUGGAUGGAGUUUCACUUAAGUGGAUGGAUGCCUGGCUGAAUUUCCCAGGCUCAAAGGUGCCAACCGUUCCGAGACCGUGUGAUUUGCGAAGUUUCGUCGGGUGGCCGACCGACAAUCAAUUCGUCACCCACUCGGCCGUUGACGAUUUUUAUCGGAAGAAGACCCAGUGCGUCGUCACCGAAGUGAAACGCGAAACCAAAAAAAACAUUCGACUUUAGCGCCCUCGUUGUCUUUUAGUUCACUUAGUCUGUUAUACACAAGACAGAGACAAGGCAGCAGACUUGAUGAUUGAAGAUUUCCUCAAUUUGGAUAAGUUUUUUUUUAUUUUUUUCCCCAAUUUGUUCAAGUUCAUAUUCUUUUUUUACAUGUUCGAGAAUUGCUUUUUUGAGCUCUUGACUUUUUCCCAUUUCUCUGAAGAGCAUUUUCUAUUACAGCAUCAGUAUUUUUGACCGGGUUCUUUUAAGGUCUCGAUAACUCCAAGGAGUUGAUUUAAAGUUCAUUUUGUUGAUUUCAUUGUUUGUUUUUUUUUUCGCUUUUUGGCACCCGAGCCCAUGUGGAGUUGAAAUAUGUGAAAUAUACAUAUUUCAAAUUAUUUUCUUUCUUUUUAUUUUUGGCGAAACGAGCGCAAUUGAAUAUAUAUACGGUGGCUCCGUUCAUUCCCAUUGAAUGGAUGACAUCAUC